UACCUUAACUUAGGCUCCGCGGGCCUCCUGA
This 31-nucleotide non-coding RNA is filed under the name Homo sapiens (human). The record is from RNAcentral. Lineage: Eukaryota; Metazoa; Chordata; Mammalia; Primates; Hominidae.